AACGAACGCUGGCGGCGUGGAUAAGACAUGCAAGUCGAACGGGAAAUAUUUUAGCUUGCUUUAAUAUUUCCAGUGGCGGACGGGUGAGUAACACGUGAGUUACCUGCCCCAAAGUGGGGGAUAGCCUCUCGAAAGAGAGAUUAAUACCGCAUGUGAUCGAAAGAUUAAAGGCCCUUCGGGGUCGCUUUGGGAUGGGCUCGCGGCCUAUCAGCUAGUUGGUGAGGUAAAGGCUCACCAAGGCGAUGACGGGUAGCUGGUCUGAGAGGACGAUCAGUCACACUGGAACUGAGACACGGUCCAGACACCUACGGGUGGCAGCAGUCGAGAAUCAUUCACAAUGGGCGAAAGCCUGAUGGUGCGACGCCGCGUGGAGGACGAAGGCCCUAGGGUCGUAAACUCCUGUCAUCAGGGAGUAAGGCGUUUACCAGGUAAUGGGUAGGCGAUUGAUAGUACCUGAAGAGGAAGGGACGGCUAACUUCG
Molecule: ribosomal RNA, 480 nt
Filed under: uncultured Verrucomicrobium sp.
Lineage: Bacteria; Pseudomonadati; Verrucomicrobiota; Verrucomicrobiia; Verrucomicrobiales; Verrucomicrobiaceae
Description: bacterial SSU rRNA
Rfam family: Bacterial small subunit ribosomal RNA
Source: RNAcentral